RNAcentral lists this ribosomal RNA (1360 nucleotides) under Fusarium solani. RNAcentral's name for it is "SSU rRNA". It matches the Rfam family "Eukaryotic small subunit ribosomal RNA", at positions 45 to 1439 of the family's 1831-position model. Lineage: Eukaryota; Fungi; Ascomycota; Sordariomycetes; Hypocreales; Nectriaceae. The record is from RNAcentral.
GGAACCCGGCGGGUCUAGUAUAGCAUUAUACAGCGAAACUGCGAAUGGCUCAUUAUAUAAGUUAUCGUUUAUUUGAUAGUACCUUACUACUUGGAUAACCGUGGUAAUUCUAGAGCUAAUACAUGCUAAAAAUCCCGACUUCGGAAGGGAUGUAUUUAUUAGAUUAAAAACCAAUGCCCUCCGGGGCUCACUGGUGAUUCAUGAUAACUUCUCGAAUCGCAUGGCCUUGCGCCGGCGAUGGUUCAUUCAAAUUUCUUCCCUAUCAACUUUCGAUGUUUGGGUAUUGGCCAAACAUGGUUGCAACGGGUAACGGAGGGUUAGGGCUCGACCCCGGAGAAGGAGCCUGAGAAACGGCUACUACAUCCAAGGAAGGCAGCAGGCGCGCAAAUUACCCAAUCCCGACUCGGGGAGGUAGUGACAAUAAAUACUGAUACAGGGCUCUUUUGGGUCUUGUAAUUGGAAUGAGUACAAUUUAAAUCCCUUAACGAGGAACAAUUGGAGGGCAAGUCUGGUGCCAGCAGCCGCGGUAAUUCCAGCUCCAAUAGCGUAUAUUAAAGUUGUUGUGGUUAAAAAGCUCGUAGUUGAACCUUGGGCCUGGCUGGCCGGUCCGCCUCACCGCGUGUACUGGUCCGGCCGGGCCUUUCCCUCUGUGGAACCCCAUGCCCUUCACUGGGUGUGGCGGGGAAACAGGACUUUUACUGUGAAAAAAUUAGAGUGCUCCAGGCAGGCCUAUGCUCGAAUACAUUAGCAUGGAAUAAUAGAAUAGGACGUGUGGUUCUAUUUUGUUGGUUUCUAGGACCGCCGUAAUGAUUAAUAGGGACAGUCGGGGGCAUCAGUAUUCAAUUGUCAGAGGUGAAAUUCUUGGAUUUAUUGAAGACUAACUACUGCGAAAGCAUUUGCCAAGGGAUGUUUUCAUUAAUCAGGAACGAAAGUUAGGGGAUCGAAGACGAUCAGAUACCGUCGUAGUCUUAACCAUAAACUAUGCCGACUAGGGAUCGGACGAUGUUAUAUUUUGACUUCGUUCGGCACCUUACGAGAAAUCAAAGUGCUUGGGCUCCAGGGGGAGUAUGGUCGCAAGGCUGAAACUUAAAGAAAUUGACGGAAGGGCACCACCAGGGGUGGAGCCUGCGGCUUAAUUUGACUCAACACGGGGAAACUCACCAGGUCCAGACACAAUGAGGAUUGACAGAUUGAGAGCUCUUUCUUGAUUUUGUGGGUGGUGGUGCAUGGCCGUUCUUAGUUGGUGGAGUGAUUUGUCUGCUUAAUUGCGAUAACGAACGAGACCUUAACCUGCUAAAUAGCCCGUAUUGCUUUGGCAGUACGCUGGCUUCUUAGAGGGACUAUCGCUCAAGCCGAGAUU